RNAcentral lists this ribosomal RNA (465 nucleotides) under Vreelandella stevensii. Its description in RNAcentral is "partial 16S ribosomal RNA". It matches the Rfam family "Bacterial small subunit ribosomal RNA", at positions 338 to 795 of the family's 1533-position model. Lineage: Bacteria; Pseudomonadati; Pseudomonadota; Gammaproteobacteria; Oceanospirillales; Halomonadaceae. The record is from RNAcentral.
CCUACGGGCGGCAGCAGUGGGGAAUAUUGGACAAUGGGGGCAACCCUGAUCCAGCCAUGCCGCGUGUGUGAAGAAGGCCCUCGGGUUGUAAAGCACUUUCAGUGAGGAAGAACGCCUGGUGGUUAAUACCCAUCAGGAAAGACAUCACUCACAGAAGAAGCACCGGCUAACUCCGUGCCAGCAGCCGCGGUAAUACGGGGGGUGCGAGCGUUAAUCGGAAUUACUGGGCGUAAAGCGCGCGUAGGUGGCUUGAUAAGCCGGUUGUGAAAGCCCCGGGCUCAACCUGGGAACGGCAUCCGGAACUGUCAAGCUAGAGUGCAGGAGAGGAAGGUAGAAUUCCCGGUGUAGCGGUGAAAUGCGUAGAGAUCGGGAGGAAUACCAGUGGCGAAGGCGGCCUUCUGGACUGACACUGACACUGAGGUGCGAAAGCGUGGGUAGCAAACAGGAUUAGAUACCCCAGUAGUC